RNAcentral lists this non-coding RNA (471 nucleotides) under Erinaceus europaeus (western European hedgehog). RNAcentral describes it as "Eukaryotic large subunit ribosomal RNA". It matches the Rfam family "Eukaryotic large subunit ribosomal RNA", at positions 24 to 470 of the family's 3401-position model. Lineage: Eukaryota; Metazoa; Chordata; Mammalia; Eulipotyphla; Erinaceidae. The record is from Rfam by way of RNAcentral.
CCCACUGAAUUUAAGCAUAUUAGUCAGCGGAGGAAAAGAAACUAACUAGGAUUCCCUCAGUAAAGGUGAGUGAACAGGGAAGAGCCCAGAACCCCAGAACCGAAUCCCCACCUGCGGUGGGGCACAGAAAAUGUGGCUUAUGGAAGACCCUAUCCCCAGUGCCUCUCAUGGGAAGCCCAAGUCCUUCUGAUUGAGGCCCCGCCCAUGGAUGGUGUGAGGCUGGUAGUGGCCCCCAGCAUGCUGGGGCCUGGCUAUUCCCAGAGUCAGUUGCUUGGGAAUGCAGCCCAAAGUGGUUGGUAAACUCCAUCUAAGGCUAAAUAUCAGCACAAGACCAAUAGUUAAGAAGUACCAUAAGGGAAAGUUGAAAAGAACUUUGAAGAGAGACUUCAAGAGGGUGUAAAGCCACAGUUAAGAGAUAAAGGGCUGGGGUAUGUGCAGUCAGCUCAGAGGAUUCAACCUGCUGAACCAUGG